AGAUACGCGCAACAAUUCAUAAUGAAAAGUUGCAUAACAAUUCAUAAUGAAAAGUUGCAUAACAAUUCAUAAUGAAAAGUUGCAUAACAAUUCUCAAGUUUCAUAUUCUGAACUACAUCAUGAUUUCCACUUCUCUUCACACUCUCAUUUUCUUCUUUAUCGCGACUACUCCUUCUCAAGUGCUGAUGAACGAUGGUGUUUCUUUGGCUGAAUCCUCUAGCAAAUUUAAUUUUAUGCCAAAAGUAUCCAUCAAACUUGGUGAGAAGAACUUUCCUGUCAAGCCUUUCAUUACUUUCAAUUGUGUUGAUCUAGUGAUCCUAAUAAUGUUGUCAAUUCUCCUUCUAACUCAAUUUUCCAUUCUGGUGUCUU
Molecule: long non-coding RNA, 369 nt
Filed under: Cicer arietinum (chickpea)
Lineage: Eukaryota; Viridiplantae; Streptophyta; Magnoliopsida; Fabales; Fabaceae
Description: long non-coding RNA (CARI_LNC001185)
Source: RNAcentral